UGCGUCUUUAAACAUCGUUGGCCA
Molecule: non-coding RNA, 24 nt
Filed under: Arabidopsis thaliana (thale cress)
Lineage: Eukaryota; Viridiplantae; Streptophyta; Magnoliopsida; Brassicales; Brassicaceae
Source: RNAcentral